GACGAACGCUGGCGGCGUGCUUAACACAUGCAAGUCGAACGGAAAGGCCCUGCAUGUGUGGGGUGCUCGAGGGGCGAACGGGUGAGUAACACGUGAGUAACCUGCCCGUGACUUUGGGAUAACUUCAGGAAACUGGGGCUAAUACCGGAUAUGAGCUCCUGCUGAAUUGUGGAGGUUGGAAAGUUUCGGCGGUUGGGGAUGGACUCGCGGCUUAUCAGCUUGUUGGUGGGGUAGUGGCAUACCAAGGCUUUGACUGGUAGCCGGCCUGAGAGGGUGACCGGAUACAUGGGGGCUGAGCUACUGCUGAUACUCCUACGGGAGGCAGCAGUGGGGAAUAUUGCACAAUGGUCUGAUGCCUGAUGUAGUAACGUCGCGUGCGGGAUGACGGCCUUCGGGUUGUAAACCGCUUUCGCCUGUGACGAAGCGUGCGUGACGGUAACGGGUAAAGAAGCCCCGGCUAACUACGUG
Molecule: ribosomal RNA, 468 nt
Filed under: uncultured bacterium
Lineage: Bacteria
Description: partial 16S ribosomal RNA
Rfam family: Bacterial small subunit ribosomal RNA
Source: RNAcentral